AGGAUAAACGCUGGCGGCGUGCCUAACACAUGCAAGUCGAGCGCCCGUAGCAAUACGGGAGCGGCAGACGGGAUAGUAACACGUGGGAACGCGCCCUUCGGUUCGGAAUAACUCAGGGAAACUUGAGCUAAUACCGAAUACGCCCUUACGGGGAAAGAUUUAUUGCCGAAGGAACGGCCCGCGUCCGAUUAGCUAGUUGGUGAGGUAAUGGCUCACCAAGGCUACGAUCGGUAGCUGGUCUGAGAGGAUGACCAGCAUCACUGGGACUGAGACACGGCCCAGACUCCUACGGGAGGCAGCAGUGGGGAAUAUUGGACAAUGGGCGCAAGCCUGAUCCAGCCAUGCCGCGUGGAUGAUGAAGGCCUUAGGGUUGUAAAGUCCUUUUAACGGGGAAGUAUAAUGACGGUACCCGUAGAAUAAGCCCGGCUAACUUCGUGCCAGCAGCCGC
RNAcentral lists this ribosomal RNA (448 nucleotides) under uncultured bacterium. RNAcentral describes it as "SSU rRNA". It matches the Rfam family "Bacterial small subunit ribosomal RNA", at positions 26 to 518 of the family's 1533-position model. The record is from RNAcentral.